GCUGGGGCUGAGUGGUAUUGCACUUGCCUGGCAUGUGUGAGGCACUGAGUUCGAUUCUCAGCACUGCA
RNAcentral lists this transfer RNA (68 nucleotides) under Marmota monax (woodchuck). Its description in RNAcentral is "tRNA.Ala". The record is from RNAcentral. Lineage: Eukaryota; Metazoa; Chordata; Mammalia; Rodentia; Sciuridae.